GACGAACGCUGGCGGCGUGCUUAAUACAUGCAAGUCAACUUGCCUCAAGGUAGUAAUAUCUUGAGGAAGGUGGCGCACGGGUGAGUAACACGUAGGUAAUCUGCCUUUAGGGUCUGACAUAAUUCCGCGAAAGCGGGACUAACAUCAGAUGAUGCCAGCGGCUCGACAUCGAGACAGUUGUAAACCUCGGGCCUAAGAUGAGCCUGCGCCUGAUUAGGUAGUUGGCGGAGUAAAAGCCCACCAAGCCUGCGAUCAGUAGCUGGUCUGAGAGGAUGAUCAGCCACACUGGAACUGAGACACGGUCCAGACUCCUACGGGAGGCAGCAGUAAGGAAUAUUGCUC
RNAcentral lists this ribosomal RNA (342 nucleotides) under uncultured bacterium. RNAcentral's name for it is "bacterial SSU rRNA". It matches the Rfam family "Bacterial small subunit ribosomal RNA", at positions 28 to 369 of the family's 1533-position model. The record is from RNAcentral.